This 169-nucleotide ribosomal RNA is filed under the name Idiomarinaceae bacterium. RNAcentral's name for it is "partial 16S ribosomal RNA". It matches the Rfam family "Bacterial small subunit ribosomal RNA", at positions 1 to 161 of the family's 1533-position model. The record is from RNAcentral. Lineage: Bacteria; Pseudomonadati; Pseudomonadota; Gammaproteobacteria; Alteromonadales; Idiomarinaceae.
UUUAAUUGAAGAGUUUGAUCAUGGCUCAGAUUGAACGCUGGCGGCAGGCCUAACACAUGCAAGUCGAGCGGUAACAGAGAGAAGCUUGCUUCUUUGCUGACGAGCGGCGGACGGGUGAGUAAUACUUGGGAACUUGCCUCUAGGCGGGGGACAACCACUGGAAACGGUG